RNAcentral lists this ribosomal RNA (119 nucleotides) under Triticum aestivum (bread wheat). Lineage: Eukaryota; Viridiplantae; Streptophyta; Magnoliopsida; Poales; Poaceae. The record is from RNAcentral.
GGAUGCGAUCAUACCAGCACUAAAGCACCGGAUCCCAUCAGAACUUCGAAGUUAAGCGUGCUUGGGCGAGAAUAGUACUAGGAUGGGUGACCUCCUGGGAAGUCCUCGUGUUGCAUUCC